This is a long non-coding RNA of Equus caballus (horse), 587 nucleotides long. The record is from Ensembl. Lineage: Eukaryota; Metazoa; Chordata; Mammalia; Perissodactyla; Equidae.
AAAAGAACACCCUGGCUGAAAACACAUCUGAGACUGAAAAAUAUUCCUCCUUAAAAAAUGGAGCGUGUUUGAGGCGCCGGUGUUCUGGAGAGGACUGGUGGGCAGGGCUGCAUCGUGCUGGAGUAUCAAGCAAGCACCUGAAAACUGAAUGGCAAAAAGCAAACAGUACUGCCAGACUGCAUUCCAGAAUCAAGAGAGAGUGGCCAAGAUCAGGUUCCAGUUCAGUUUCUGGAGCAGAUAAGAUUCCAUGAGCUGCAUGAAUCUUGGAGAUUCAGAAGAUGGUCUCAGCCGGCAAGAUUGGUCAUGGCCAUUGGCUUUUUCUGAAGCAGCAGUCCAGCGUCAGUCAUCAGCAAAAUGGUGACAAGAGACAGCUUCACUGGCUUUGUGAUCCCUGGAUCUCAUCUAAAUUGACGUUCUUAAAGUCAGCAGUUUCAGUGAUGGCUCCCUGAUUCUCCACCUUCCUGACUGUGGUAGGAGAGCAGUUCCCCUGCUGGGCUCAUUCUGUCGUGUUGUUCUCGAUGCUAUUUCUGGAAGCCUAACUCAGAGCUUUCCAGUCCUUCCAGGAUUGUGCGAACUCCUUGUUUCCU